Molecule: unclassified non-coding RNA, 348 nt
Filed under: soil metagenome
Description: partial contains 5.8S ribosomal RNA, internal transcribed spacer 2, and large subunit ribosomal RNA
Rfam family: 5.8S ribosomal RNA (bases 2-119)
Source: RNAcentral
GUGAAGAACGUAGUGAAAUGCGAUACGUAAUGUGAAUUGCAGAAUUCAGUGAAUCAUCGAGUCUUUGAACGCACAUUGCGCCCCCUGGUAUUCCGGGGGGCAUGCCUGUCCGAGCGUCAUUGCUGCCCUCAAGCACGGCUUGUGUGUUGGGCCUCCGCCCCCCGGCUCCCGGGGGGCGGGCCCGAAAGGCAGCGGCGGCACCGCGUCCGGUCCUCGAGCGUAUGGGGCUUCGUCACCCGCUCCGUAGGCCCGGCCGGCGCCCGCCGGCGACCCCCCUCAAUCUUUCCAGGUUGACCUCGGAUCAGGUAGGGAUACCCGCUGAACUUAAGCAUAUCAAUAAGCGGAGGA